GGUCCUAAGGUAGCGAAAUUCCUUGUCGGGUAAGUUCCGACCUGCACGAAUGGCGUAAUGAUGGCCAGGCUGUCUCCACCCGAGACUCAGUGAAAUUGAACUCGCUGUGAAGAUGCAGUGUACCCGCGGCAAGACGGAAAGACCCCGUGAACCUUUACUAUAGCUUGACACUGAACAUUGAGCCUUGAUGUGUAGGAUAGGUGGGAGGCUUUGAAGUGUGGACGCCAGUCUGCAUGGAGCCGACCUUGAAAUACCACCCUUUAAUGUUUGAUGUUCUAACGUGGACCCGUGAUCCGGGUUGCGGACAGUGUCUGGUGGGUAGUUUGACUGGGGCGGUCUCCUCCUAAAGAGUAACGGAGGAGCACGAAGGUUGGCUAAUCCUGGUCGGACAUCAGGAGGUUAGUGCAAUGGCAUAAGCCAGCUUGACUGCGAGCGUGACGGCGCGAGCAGGUGCGAAAGCAGGUCAUAGUGAUCCGGUGGUUCUGAAUGGAAGGGCCAUCGCUCAACGGAUAAAAGGUACUCCGGGGAUAACAGGCUGAUACCGCCCAAGAGUUCAUAUCGACGGCGGUGUUUGGCACCUCGAUGUCGGCUCAUCACAUCCUGGGGCUGAAGUAGGUCCCAAGGGUAUGGCUGUUCGCCAUUUAAAGUGGUACGCGAGCUGGGUUUAGAACGUCGUGAGACAGUUCGGUCCCUAUCUGCCGUGGGCGCUGGAGAACUGAGGGGGGCUGCUCCUAGUACGAGAGGACCGGAGUGGACGCAUCACUGGUGUUCGGGUUGUCAUGCCAAUGGCACUGCCCGGUAGCUAAAUGCGGAAGAGAUAAGUGCUGAAAGCAUCUAAGCACGAAACUUGCCCCGAGAUGAGUUCUCCCUGAGACUUAGAGUCUCCUGAAGGAACGUUGAAGACGACGACGUUGAUAGGCCGGGUGUGUAAGCGCAGCGAUGCGUUGAGCUAACCGGUACUAAUGAACCGUGAGGCUUAACCUUACAACGCCGAAG
RNAcentral lists this ribosomal RNA (996 nucleotides) under Salmonella enterica subsp. enterica. RNAcentral's name for it is "bacterial LSU rRNA". It matches the Rfam family "Bacterial large subunit ribosomal RNA", at positions 1947 to 2925 of the family's 2925-position model. Lineage: Bacteria; Pseudomonadati; Pseudomonadota; Gammaproteobacteria; Enterobacterales; Enterobacteriaceae. The record is from RNAcentral.